This is a long non-coding RNA of Grus americana (Whooping crane), 11072 nucleotides long. RefSeq lists it as uncharacterized. The record is from RefSeq and is a predicted model, not a curated record. Lineage: Eukaryota; Metazoa; Chordata; Aves; Gruiformes; Gruidae. The transcript is spliced from 3 exons.
AAGUGCCUGUGUUUGGGUGCAAUAUUGAAAAAAAAAUUAGAAUAACCAUUGCUUUCCCACUGAAAUUAAUAUUUGUCCCACUGAACUUAAUAUUUUAUAAAUCUAUUCUGCAUUCAGCAGCAGAAAAGAUUUGGUUACAUGAACUCAUGUGACACCAGAUCCUAAGGACCAUUCAGGCACAAUUUAAGUCAAUUAAAACAGUCUGAGGAAUCAGGCAAAACUUUAUCAAGAUAAGCAAGCUUUUGCUAGUGCAGGUAGCACUAUAAUUGUAAGCAAUUGAUUAGAACUAUGAUUGUCCUAAUCAACAGAGUUACUCAGGCUUUAUCUGACCUUUAAUUUGUUGAGCUAAACUGAAGUAAGAUUGAUUUAAGUAAAAAUAAGAAUUCACACAGCCCUUUGCAGCAAAUUAAACCCAGCUAAACCAAUGUAGUUUUGCAUGUAGACAAGCCCUAAGGCAGCAAAAUGUCCAACAGCAGUGACAAAGUGCUUGAUGGUUUUCAGAGAACAUGUGUUUUUACUUUCAUUGUGGCAGGAAACACCAUAGGGUCAAGGCUGCAAACCACUGUUUAUAUUGUUCUUUCUUCUACUUACUUAUUAUAUAACCAAUUUGCAGUGUCCCAUUAUGUGCUACAUGGGGUGCCUUUAAAAUUAUAUAUUAUAAGCAUAUUUUUAAAAUAAAUAGUACCCACAAAUUUUACUAAUACUAGGAAUGGGAGAGCUUAUUUAUUACUGCUGCUGUGCUAGAUUUUAUUGGAUCUGCACUUCAAGCAUGACACCUGUUAAAAAGACAAGUCCAGACGCAUGACAACAUUUUGACCUUUGUACAGCUCUGAAUGGGUGGGAAAGUAACCCUUUCAGUGUACUGCUUUGGGACUGUGAUGGAAAUGUCGUAGUUGACCAAAUGUUAGUCUUUAUGCAUUCUCUUUUCUUCCCCUUCCUCUGCUAUUGCUCCAUUCCCCCAUUGUUUUUAAUUUUCUUGGGUUUUUUUUUUCUGUCUUCCUCUCAUUCUCUUUAUAAACCAUCUUGACUCUGCUUCCUCUUCUUUUGCCUUGAGACAUCCUAUUUAUUUGAUGCAGGGUCCACAUCACAGUCCUUAUAUUUUCUUUUAUGUCAACUAACUGUGUUCUUCCCACUUCACACAGUGGCUCAUUUCUCAUUGGCCGGUCAUGCUCGCAAACACAGGACCACCAGUUAGCUGAGCCGUUUCUAGGGCUUGUUCCAUCUCACCCCCAGUGAACAAAAAUCCCUUUAAGCAGUGUCAUUCCACUUGAAUUUGGCCAUGCACAUGGAAGGUUUCUUACCGAUGUAUCAGGCACACAUUGUGGUUGCAGAUUUUGUAGACAAAAUGUGGUGGAGGUUAUCUGUCAGGACUUCACUGAAGUGUGUGGUGCCGAGUGAAAAAGGAUUAGUUCAGUUGAAAAAAUGGGGAUUAGUGCAGGAAUUGUAAGGUGGGAAAAACAGCCAAAAGAAAAAUGGAAUACAUUUCUCAGUCUGCUUUGCUCUGCAGUCACACAGAUAGUGCUGGCAAAAAGGAAAGGAUACACAGGAACAGGAAUGAAAGCCAGAGGUCAGUGAAGGUCAGCUGCGCUGCUUUAGGUAAUACUUUAGACUUAUGCUGGUAAACUGUACCAAAAAUUGCGAUCUGAACCUGCAACAUGCAGUGACCUUCAAUAGGACAAAUUUCUUAGACCUAAGCAGCUACUAAGGUAUUUAACAUCUUUGUCAGUGACAUGGACAGUGGGAUCAAGUGCACCCUCAGCAAGUUUGCCCACAACACAAGCUGUGUGGUGUGGUCAACACGCUGGAAGGAAGGGGUGCCAUCCAGAGGGAUCUUGACGUCCUCGAGAGGUGGGCCUGUGUGAACCCAUGAAGUUCGGCAAGUGCAAGGUACUGCACGUGGGUCAGGGCAAUCCCAAGCACACCUACAGGCUGGGCAGGGAAUGGAUUGAAAGCAGCCCUGAGGAGAAGGACUCAGGAGUGCUGGUGGAUGAAAAGCUCAACAAGUCAGCAAUGCAUGCUUGCAGCCCAGAAAGCCAACUGUAUCCUGGGCUGCAUCAAAAGAAGCAUGGCCAGCAGGUCAAGGGAGGUGAUUCUGCCCCUCUACUCCACUCUUGUGAGACCUCACCUGGAGUACUGCGUCCAGCUCUGGGGGCCCCAGUACAAGACAGACAUGGACUUGUUGGAACGAGUCCAGAGGAGGGCCACGAAGAUGAUCAGAGGGCUGGAGCACCUCUCCUAUGAGGACAGGCUGAGAGAGUUGGGGUUGUUCAGCCUGGAGAAAAGGCGGCUCCGGGGAGACCUUAUAGCAGCCUUCCAGUACCUGAAGGGGACCUACAGGAAAGCUGGAGAGGGGCUGUUUACAAGGGCAUGUAGUGACAGGACAAGGGGUAAUGGCUUUAAACUAAAAGAGGGUAGAUUUAGAUUAGGUAUAAGGAAGAAAUUCUUUCCCAUGAGGGUGGUGAGGCACUGGAACAAGUUGCCCAGGGAAGUUGUGGAUGCCCCCUCCCUGGAAGUGUUCAAGGGCAGGUUGGAUGGGGCUUUGGGCAACGUGGUCUAGUGGAGGUUGUCCCUGCCCAUGGCAGGGGGGUUGGAACUAGAUGAUCUUUAAGGUACCUUCCAACCCAAACCAUUCUAUGAUUCCAUGAUUCCCAGCAGAAGUACAGAAGUAUAUUUGCCAAUAUUUGACAUUCAAAACACCUAUUUCCUCUAAAAUACUACGUAUGCUUCCACUCGUACAUAUUCAGAAAAGAUUAAGUAAAACCAGAACUUAUCCAGAAAAAGGUGACUGAGCUGAUUAGGAAAACAUUGCAAGAAGUUAUCAAAUUGUUAGUUAAAGGUUAUUGGCCCAACCAAAUAACUGUUGAAGUCUAUAAUUUUUCUCUGAAAGCACAAGAAGGAGAUAAGUUCAGCAGAUUUUUAAGAUCUUUUUUAGUGAUGCGGACUGUGUUGAUACAGGAACUGUCAGUUACCUCACCCAAACUGGAAAUAAGAGUAAAAUUUAUAACUGCCAGCAGAAUGAGUUUCCAGAGCAUUCUUCCAAUACCAGUAGAAUGGGUGAAAAUAAACAAAAUCAAAAUCUUUAGACGAGGCUUAGAUUGUCUUUAUAUAAGGCUUAAUAGUUUAAGGAAAGGGAUUGUAUGGUAUGGUGGCUUCCAGUGGCAUGAGACUAUCGUGAAUGACCCUGGAAGCCCUUGCAGUCAAGGUCAAGCCACCUUGCAUAUAAGGUGGCGACAACGAAGUCACAGUGAAACUAAACUUUUUACUUGCAAAGAGGUGAAGCAGUAAUAACCCAUUUGUGUCAGUUCACCUAUAUUCAGGAUAUUACAUCAAGGCUAUAAAAGGAAAAUUACUAAACUCACUGGUGUAUAUGCAUGAAUUGUGCUAACGGACCUGGAUAUAGAAUAAUUAGGAAGCAGUGAGUAAAAUUUUGCAGCUCUGCCUGCUGCAAUUACCUUGACAAUUUCAGGAAGGUGUCAACACUAGGGAAGUGUGGAUAAGUGCACUUUUCCAUUCGUUGUCAAUCACAACCUUGAGUAGGUUCACCAAAAGUAAUGGGGUAUAGGGAGGGCAGUGUUGUGAGGUACUAGAAAUGUUACUGCAACCUAAAGAAAAUCUUACAUCCCCAUGUCCUGCACACUCUUACACUCUACUGUCAAACGUGUUAAUACACAAAUGUUUACAUUAUGCCUAUCUCUUUUCUUCCUUCCUUUUUCUCCUGUAAAGAAUUAACAUUUUUAAACAUCAUAUAUAAUGUUCCCUGCCUGAAGAUUUUGAGAAACACUGCACCGAACUAAACUCUGCUUUGCUCUUGAUCUUAAAAAUACUGCCACAGUGCUUUAGCAGAAAGGAAAACUACAGCUUUUAUACAAAGAUUUUUUCCAAAAAGUUCUAUUACAUCUUUGUAGGGCAAUUAAUUUUUCACAAGUGAUUAUAAGGGUAAAAGAGUGGCAUGGUAUUACAUAUUAACAGGGGACUAGAACCAAGUCAACCAAAAAUUCAUUGAACUGGAAUGGUGAAAAAAUUACAGGCCAAAUAUCAUGUGAGCAAUAAUGAACAUGUGAAUUAAGAGCCACUGAAGUCAAACACAGGGUUGUGAACGUCUCAACUGUUGGGUGGACUGAAGCCUAGAUCUUCCGCAAGCUUACACAACUGUGUCAGGCUGAGAUGUGGUGAAGGUCAGGCUUUUCUUCUGCGCCAGUAUGUUAGUGAACAAACCAGUGUAGGACCCAGUGACAACUGAGACAUAUUAACUCUUUCCUACUAAUUUCCUGAGGUCUAGGAGGAGGUUCGAGACACUGUCCAUUCUGUUCACUCGCAACACGUAGGCGUGUAGUUUGAUUCAUGCAUAUUGAAGAAAUGGGCAUGAACUUUUCAUUGCAGACCUGUUGCUGCUUUGGAAAUUUUGCAUGGAAACUCAGUGGAAGCCCGCUGAAAAUUUCGCUUUUAUUAAACUCAGUUUUCUACAAAGAACAACGAAGAACUGAGGACUUGAAUUAAAACAUUUAUUUUCCCAGAUAAUUUACUAAGACUUCAACUCUCUGUCACUAUCUUACCUGUCUUUUCCAUCCUUCUCUUUUUUUCAGAUAGUAUCUGGCUACAUUUUGGUCUCAGAAACCUCCUCCCUCUCUCUGCAGCUGACCUCUGGGGUGCUCCCCAGUUUCACGGGCAGGCGGUAUAUAUGUGCACUGUGCCAUCUAUACAUACCUACUGCUUAACCUGCUUCUCCACCUCUGACUGAUCCACCCCUCCACUUCCCCAUUUCUGCUCCCCUCUGCCAAUCCCAUGGCCUACCUCUCACUUAGCGUACCUUUUCUGGUCACAAAACAGAAGACGAUGACCAUCUUCUGCUGGAAAAUCCCUUCCUUGUCCUUUUUCCAUUACCAUGGCUAAUUCUGUCAUCCUCUGAGCUCGUUUACUCCCUUUUCUCCCCCAUAUAGAUGCUGGGUUUAGGCCAUGCUUAUUCUUCUGUGAAGUAUUUCCAACAACCUGUUUCCCCACCUCAGACCUUGUUUCUGAAAGUCUUCCCCAGACUUAGGUUAUCUCUAGCCUGAAGACACUCAUAAAUUACCAGCUUUCUAGAAGUUUCUCCCGGGGAAUCUUUAGCUUCUCCUUUCCACUCAGUUCAGGGUCUCUCUAUUCCCCAUUCCAGCAGAUAAAGUUUUCAUUACCCUCCUCCCCUUUUUUCCUCACUGAGCAGCAGCAUCUUGCCACCGUUGUGCCCCUUCUUGGGCCUUCUUGGGUUGUUCAUCCCUUUGGUUUCAGGCCUCACCUUCGGGGCCCACCGUUGUUCUUCUGCUGCCUUAAUUCAGAUUUGUGUCUUUGCUCCCACAUGUUCUGGUCCAGCCCAGCUUUCCUCUAAUCACUUUCUUCCUUUCCUCCUCCUGCUUUUCUCCGAGGGCUUUCAUUCAUUGAACAACUGCGCCCAUCUUGUGAACCAAAUUCACUCCAUCUUCAUUCAGAUUGCCUCAUAAAAUGUACUUCUGCCAUAAAGCCUAUCCAGCUCGGAUUCUUCUGCUGAAAUAUAUCCCAUUCCUCUAUAACAAAAACAAAUCCUGUUUCAUAACAAAACAAAAAGAACUGAGAGACUGACUAUGCAAUUAAUUUUUGCCAGUUGCUUUCUGCCAAGAGCAACAUGCUUGUUCUUAUCCCGCUCCUGAGGAUUGUCCUCCCCAUGUGCCUCCUGUUUGUCCUUUUGUUUUGUUAUCGGCUUUCGAGUCCUUCCUGAGGGCUCCUGGCCUGAUGCUGUGCUCACAUUGGUGUGAAGCGAGGAGUAACUCCACUGCAGUGAACAGAGCUUUGCCAAGGUGAAAUUUCUGUGGAAGACGAAUCAGCCCUUUGUUUUAAUAUUGGCUAAUAAAGCCUGUGCACGGCCCCAGCACAGCACUCUGGUUUUAAUUAAUAAGAAUUAGCAUCUAUAUCUACCUACAUUCUUUUUUUUCCCUUUGUGGGCUCAGCUACUUUGAAGAAAACCUCUUUGUCUGUCUUCCUGGUUAUUCUAUAUCUUGAUAUUAAAAAAACCCAAACGAAUAAAAAACCGAAACCCCAAGUAACAUCAAACUCCCACGCAAACAAAAGGCUUAGCUGCUGCCGGUGGCGGGGAGCGCUGGGAGCAGCCCUUCCCGCCUGCUGAGAGGAGCCAGCUUCCAGCCCGCGCUCCCUGCUGCUGGGGAGCUGUGCAAUUCCCAGCCCACUGUCCCUUCCUCCGCCUUUGCACAAUCCCACUGCAGCGACUUCCCAGUCCUAAUUGGAGCCUCUGGGCAUUAUUGUAUUAUUAUUUAAUAAACAACCACAUAAAACACUGGUUGACAUUUAAAUAAGAGUAAAGAAAGGAAAGCUCUGACUCCGAGACUGUUUUGUUUUCCUGUUGACUUGGGUGGAAGCAGGAACAGGUUUUCUAUACCAUACCCACGCUCGCUCGACACAUGCUCACCUUUACUGGUUUAGGAAAGGCACUGCUAACGUGGGCCCGGUGCAGAUGAGAGGGCCAGACCUACUGCAGCUGUCAGUCCCUGUUGCAACAUAAACUGUAAAUGUAGAGACAUAACCUGGACGUCCCCAAAUAAAACAGCUUUUCUUGUCUGAGCUAUAGUGAGCAAGGAUUCAGCAUCAUUUUCUGCAUUGUUACCCCCAGCAUGUCCUUUCGAGUAGUUAUCUGAAACACGCAGCCAUCAGGAUGCUAUUAAGAAGAAUAAAUGGAAAAGAGUGUUUUGGUUUUGCAUUUGAUUGUAAGUUUGAGAUGUUUCAGAGUGAGAGUUAUCAUGACAAAAGAAAACAUGGUGUCCUUGAAGUGAACGCAGAGGAGCACAACUCAUUCAAAAAGGUUUUGAAAGAAAACAAAGAGCUGAAGGCCAGAACUGACUUCUUUAGCAACAAGUAUAAAAUGAGACAGGAUUCAAAAUGCUUAAAAUACUUUGGUGACAAGCAACAAAAAAGCGUCUGUUACUAGAAUUGAUUCAGUUAAGGAAAGGGAGAGAAAAUCUUGAGAACUUUUUGAAAAGUAAAGAUUUGAUGUGUAGGGAGUAUAAGAACAAAAUUCUCCCGGACCACAACCAGAGCCCUGAAUCAGCAUAACUCUUUUCCUUGAAGAAAGCGACAACUAGACAAGGGUGAGUAUGUACACCCUUAUUAUCCUUUUUCAUUGUGGAUCAAAGAGGAGGAAUUCUUGGGGCUGCCAGCUCUCCACUUUCCCGCAGUGAGUCUGGAGUGCAGGCUGGGUUGAUUUCUCUCGGUUAGGCAAUGCCUCUCUAAUACUCUAAAUGAUCAGGUCCUAUAAUGGACUUCUUGUGAGAUCUGAAUCUAACUGGUUUGUGUGUGGUAUAAAUGUUUUUAAAGUAUUCAGUAGGAGUGAAACAUUCUUGCCUUUUAUAAAAAUUAUAUACAUAUAUGCUUUAAUUCUAGGGAGUUCACCCCUCAUUCUUCCCACCAUUUCAUUACAUGUUUGCUCUCCUGUAUUAUAUAUUAAAAGCUUCAUGCAGUGGCUCACUUGCAUUUACAUAUGUGGACUGUAAUAAUUCUGUGAUGUUGCUUGGAACUUCUGUAUGAACAUGUUAUAUAGAGUCAAUGUGGGCAUGACAAAUGUAUUGCAGAUUUUUUGUAGAUAAACAGAGUCAGUGAAUGCAAAUACAAAUGAAUUUGUGUGCGAGUUUUAAUAUCUAAGCAGAGCUUAUAAGUGCAUAAUACCUGUAACCACAACUGUCAGUGCAAACGGGGAAACUAGUUUUAAAGCAUUUGCACUGAUUUAAAAGUGCUGGACUUCGAAAUACUUCAGCUGACAUGGUGGAGAUGUGUUCAUCCUCUGGCAGGUAUGUAAUGCAUAAACUCUGUUAUUAAAGAAUACAAACUUUAUUAGCAGCUGAUAUGCCAAAGUCCUUGCGAAAACAAGUACCAGAACGGUGAGGACUGCCUUAUAAAGCAACUUGUGGCUUUUAAAGACAUUAUGGAAAUCUUACUGUGAAAUGGAUUAAAAAGUGCUGGUUAGUGAUCUUAGGGAGAUGGGUGUUAAGCAUGGAGAAUUUUUUUGGAAGGCAAAAUGAGAACAUACCGUAAAGGUGCUGUAUUUGCAUGCGUCGCCAUGCAGCCAGUACUAGGUUUGGUCUGGAAGCAGGGUGUUCGCUUAGGAGAGGCACUGCAGAGGCAUAUAACUUAAGGAUAAAACUGAGUCUGCUUGAAUAUGGAGUGGAGUAAUCUUCCCCUGAAGGGAGACCGAGUGACUGCUUUUUGUGAGAGUACUGAGACAAGAACAUAUUAAAUUGUUAUUGAAGAUGUAGAGAAGAAGUAUGUUCUGUAAAGUUUUCUGGUGCAUUUUAUCAAAACUAUUCAUGUGACAAAAAGAAAGAGAUAGAUGCAAGUCCAAGGCUUUAAUCAACAAAAGGGCAAAAUAAACCUCUUUCAGCCUUUUCUUUAUUCAUGAAUAUAAAUAUUUGCUUAUUUCUGUAUUUGGUGGAGGUAAAGUUGUCCUGAAUUGGCCUGUAAAAUAUUUCCUAGAUAAAGAGUUCAGGUUCAACAUGUGAAGGGAAUUUGUUCUGAAUUCACUGGAGGUCUACCUGCUCAUUCUAAAUAACACCAUAUUAAGUAGCUAUUUAACUGCUAUAAGAAAAGUUAUGUUUUGCAGAGUGAGGACAUGAAAUUGUCUUUGUAUUUGCAUUUCUUUAGAGCUCAGGCCAAGUGGUUUAUUAAUGGAAAAUCAGAAGAAAACAGUCUUCAAAAUGGCCAGUAGACUGAAGAAGCCGGACUGGGAGCAUCUGUAUCUUCCCAUUUGAAAACAUUGCCUGUUGCUUGCUCCUACAGAGUACCUGGAAACACCGGGCAGAGAGACAACUCCCAGAAGCCGUGUAUCUUGAGAUUUACUGAAGUCGGUUACAAAGAGCAAAUGAAAAAAUAGGCACCCAAAGUUUCUUUGGCUGUGACGCAUGAGGCAACUGAUUCUUCAUGCAGGAUGGGAGGGACGCUGCGCUCAGCCCCAUGGAUGACAGAGCAUGGAUAGGCAGCAAUCCUGCAGCUGUGCCUGUGGUAGGUAAGACAACCCCUACAACUCCUUGUCUCCUAUUUGGCUUUCCACCAUUCUGCCUUCCCGGAUCCACUUGCUUUGCCAGCUGAAGACUGCCUGGUCACCUCUGCAGAAAGCCUGGGGUCAUGGAGCAGGAGACAGACUGUGGCACUGCACUGCAAGUAUGGGAAACGUGGACUUAGUUCUGUGGAAGCUGCAAGGAGGGAGCAGUCCGGGAGUAUUUGCACAUAUGCUGCAUCCAGUCUGGCAGGCAGAAGAAGAAAUUCACCCUCCUUAUUUAUAGGAAGCUGGAGUUGCAUGCUAGGCCAAACUGACUAAGUCUGGUAUCCUGCUUCAGACAACAAUGAGCACUGGCUGCUAGAGGAGAUGUAAGAAAUGCUGUAGUAAACCGAAGAUGAAAUCAGUCACUGUGGACAUUUCUCACUGUCCUACUGAUAUCUAGGUCGCUAGUUAACCAUGUCAACAACUAGUGACCAGCAUGAGGUGGGAAGGAUGAAGGCUUUACACUGAACUAUUCUAUUUCAUGUCCUACAUGAUUCCUCUCCCUUGGUUGAAACAAAAAUGAAGAAAGAAUGAUACCCUCCUCAUCCUGUUCCUUCUGAAAUAUAUGACAAACCCUGUAUUGUUAUCAAAGGUGCAGGAUCAAACCUGUCAUUAUCUCACACAGAGUGCAAUAAAUACCAUGACUAAGAGUUAACAGUGCGUCAAAAAUGAUCAUCUCUAAGUCUUGUUGGCAAGCUUUGUGUGAACUGAACCAGGUUGUCACCUGCCUCCUUCAAUGACAAUGCAACAACUACUCUGUAUAGUCAUUUUCUGUCACUGUAUACUACAGGUGAAAAAUACAGGUGAACAAUAUUUUACACGCACAGAUAUGUAACUGAUUAUAUUACAAAAAGAACUGCAAGAACAAAGCAUUUAUUUUUCACUUUUAGGAAUCUGAAUGAGGAGAUCUCAUUACCCAGAAUCAAGAUGCAUCUUGCUUGGUGAAUACAAUAACAAAUGGGUUCUUCAAAUCCCUAAUUCACAAGCAUUUCAGAAAGAGACAGUUCAACAGCACAAGAUGUACUAUUCCUAGAAAUCUCCUGACUCAACUCCUGUCCUGUCAGUGAUUCAGUAGCACGGCAGUUAUAAUUGAGCACAAACAUACUUCUGUUAGCAAACAGGAACAAGCUGGGCAGAAGCACCAAGAUGGAAAUGGGCUAUGUGGGUGCCAAGGUAGGUGGUCACACCUGGUCAGGGCUGUGAGAUUCAUGAUAUGGAUAAGGUGAUCAGGCUUGUAAAGGGAAAACCUGAGUUGCCUGUGACUGUCUGGUGAUAAGAAAGAAGGAUGCACAAGGCGGAUGAUAAUCUUGAUGGGCACUUAACAAGGCCAAAAAGACAGAUAACAGUGCUUCAUUUCUAUUUCUUUAAGUAGUAAUUCGCUUACCUUUUCCUUUAGGUGGAAUACUUUGCAUAAGAAAGCACUGGCUGCAGCACUUAGACAUGGUGUGUAGAUUUCUGUAGAUUUACAGACAUUGUGUGACAUGGUUGGAGGGAGGAUUAUCAGCACGUAGCCAGCAGCCUGGGGUGAGGUUCUUGAGAUUUGUGUGCUUCCAUGUGCAUCUUCUUAACUCCACCCCAUCUGCUGGAGAUUUGGAAAAAAAAAAAACCGCAGGACUGUGCUCUAUUUAUGAAAGCGAUAGUGACAUCAGGACAAAAAUACAUGAUCCAUGUAGUUCCUGAAGCUAGAGAUUACUCACAGGAUAUUGCUAGGGCAUCAGAUAAAGAUUUUAACAAGUGGGUGUAAACAUUUCAUCACAAGUCUGUCUUUAGGAACCCAAGGAACUGCUCCUAUUUUCAAAAGUGUGGAAUCUCUGGCAACUUCAUCUGCUCUCUUCUUUCUGCUCUUAUUUUGUGAAUGGAAUAGGGCACAGUCGUUCAGGCUUUGUGGGAGUCAUUCUACUUGCCUGAAUUGGUUGUAUGCAUAACAAACUGGUAGGACAGGUCAGGUACUUUUCCUUUUAUUUGAAGUUCUUUAAAAUGAUCAAAUCUCUGCAGAUGCAUAAGCCAUAGAAAUAUAAAUAAA